Molecule: unclassified non-coding RNA, 690 nt
Filed under: Hevea brasiliensis (rubber tree)
Lineage: Eukaryota; Viridiplantae; Streptophyta; Magnoliopsida; Malpighiales; Euphorbiaceae
Source: RNAcentral
GGCCCUCGUCCCUCUGUCUCUAAAAGUGGGUAUCCCUCAACUUUAUCGAGUGGAAUUGAUUUGUCCAUAAAUAAUGGAUUUUAUUAUAGAUGAGCUUCAAUGGUCGAAGGUGUUUUGGAUCUGCAUAUCUUUAGCUAUAGGGUCUCUUCCCCUUGAGCUGUGUUUUUAUGGUUGCCCUGUUUGGGUUGUUGUGUGAGUUGCUUACAGGUUUACAAUGAUUUGAUGGUGAUGUUUGGAGGAGGAACAGUGAUGGUGGAUCGCGGGGUCAUAUUAGGAAGCUAGCCUAGAAGGCCGGAACGGGAUGUUGAAGAAUGCCAUUGCUGUUUUGACCUCUGUGCCUAUUGUCUUUCUACAACCUCCGAAAGUGAUGAAGGUGGCACUGUUAGAUGUCUUUGGAAAUGUCUGGAAGAGGAGUUCCUUUGAAUUUUAUUUCACCGCUUCACCUUGAAUGGUUGGAGUUGUUAUCUUGAUGGGAUCUCUUUUGGUGCUGUUCGGGUGAGAUGAUCUGAGGACAUAAGGCAUUAAUUGAAGAAAUGACGCUAUGGAAGUGCCAUCUCUGGGUCGGAUAUCCAUUGUCCCUAAAGUUUCCAUUGUGUUUGAGUUUUGGGUUGUUUGACUCGUCUUAGAUUGGGUUCAUGUGAUCUUUUAUUAAGAAAAACUUGUUUAGAAUUAUCCUCUAUAAAACAAUUU